AGAUUGAACGCUGGCGGCAUGCCUUACACAUGCAAGUCGAACGGCAGCACGGGAGCAAUCCUGGUGGCGAGUGGCGAACGGGUGAGUAAUACAUCGGAACGUGCCCAAUCGUGGGGGAUAACGCAGCGAAAGCUGUGCUAAUACCGCAUAAGAUCUACGGAUGAAAGCAGGGGAUCGCAAGACCUUGCGCGAAUGGAGCGGCCGAUGGCAGAUUAGGUAGUUGGUGAGGUAAAGGCUCACCAAGCCUUCGAUCUGUAGCUGGUCUGAGAGGACGACCAGCCACACUGGGACUGAGACACGGCCAGACUCC
This 310-nucleotide ribosomal RNA is filed under the name uncultured soil bacterium. RNAcentral describes it as "bacterial SSU rRNA". It matches the Rfam family "Bacterial small subunit ribosomal RNA", at positions 26 to 339 of the family's 1533-position model. The record is from RNAcentral.